RNAcentral lists this ribosomal RNA (440 nucleotides) under uncultured bacterium. RNAcentral's name for it is "partial 16S ribosomal RNA". It matches the Rfam family "Bacterial small subunit ribosomal RNA", at positions 338 to 795 of the family's 1533-position model. The record is from RNAcentral.
CCUACGGGUGGCAGCAGUGGGGAAUAUUGCACAAUGGGGGAAACCCUGAUGCAGCAACGCCGCGUGAGUGAAGAAGUAUUUCGGUAUGUAAAGCCCUAUCAGCAGGGAAGAAGAUGACGGUAUCUGAUUAAGAAGCCCCGGCUAACUACGUGCCAGCAGCCGCGGUAAUACGUAGGGGGCAAGCGUUACCCGGAUUUACUGGGCGUAAAGGGCGCGCAGACGGGAGAGCAAGUCUGAAGUGAAAGCCCGUGGCUCAACCCCGGAACUGCUCUGGAAACUGUUCGGCUAGAGUACUGGAGGGGCAGGCGGAAUUCUUGGUGUAGGGGUAAAAUGCGUAGAUAUUAGGAGGAACACUAAUGGCGAAGGCGACCUGCUAGACAGUAACUGACGUUGAGGCGCGAAAGCGUGGGGAGCAAACAGGAUUAGAUACCCCGGUAGUC